Molecule: unclassified non-coding RNA, 593 nt
Filed under: Hevea brasiliensis (rubber tree)
Lineage: Eukaryota; Viridiplantae; Streptophyta; Magnoliopsida; Malpighiales; Euphorbiaceae
Source: RNAcentral
UUUGACACCCCGAGUUGUCUUUUGGCCUAAAUUUCCAUUAAAAAUAAAUGAUGUUACACUUGGAAAAUGUCGUGAAAAAUUAAAUUGGUAGUACAUAGUUUAAAUAGCAAAAAUUAGGAGUUAAAUGUGGGAAUAUGAAAACUUUAGAAUAUUAAAUGUUUAAUCUAAGUUAGUGGUCCACUAACUCAAUUAAGUGGCCAUAUAAUCAGCAUAUUUUGGGCAGAUUGCUCAUCUUCUUCAACAUUGCAAAAACCAGCCGUGAGCCUCCAUUGAAGAACCUCCAUGGCCAAGCUCCAUGCAACCAUGAUUUAGCCAUAUUUUUUACUAGCUUCCUUCACAAAAACUGUUCUACACCACUUGGGCAGUAGAUAGGCAGCAAGAAGACCAAGUUUUGGAGAGAUUUUGAAGAGUUUCCAAAGUGUUAGCAAAGACUCAGGGAAAGGGAAGGAAACACUGAGUCAAGGCCAGGAGACAGUUAUCAGAGGUAGGCAGACUGACUGGGCAGCAGACUAGGCAGCUAGUGCAUUCAGCGAGUGAUCAUCGGGUAUAUUGAGUAUACUGUAUUUUGUAUUUUGUAUUGUAAUGUAUGUUCA